UGGGAUGUAGCUCAGUGGUAGAGCACUUGCCUAGCAUGUGUGACACCUGGGAUCAACUCCCAGCACCACAA
Molecule: transfer RNA, 71 nt
Filed under: Heterocephalus glaber (naked mole-rat)
Lineage: Eukaryota; Metazoa; Chordata; Mammalia; Rodentia; Bathyergidae
Rfam family: tRNA
About the family: Transfer RNA (tRNA) molecules are approximately 80 nucleotides in length.
Source: Rfam by way of RNAcentral